UAAYGACUCUCGGCAACGGAUAUCUCGGCUCUCGCAUCGAUGAAGAACGUAGCGAAAUGCGAUACUUGGUGUGAAUUGCAGAAUCCCGUGAACCAUCGAGUCUUUGAACGCAAGUUGCGCCCUAAGCUGUUAGGCUGAGGGCACGUCUGCCUGGGUGUCACG
RNAcentral lists this ribosomal RNA (162 nucleotides) under Boronia inornata. RNAcentral's name for it is "5.8S ribosomal RNA". It matches the Rfam family "5.8S ribosomal RNA". Rfam says of the family: 5.8S ribosomal RNA (5.8S rRNA) is a component of the large subunit of the eukaryotic ribosome. It is transcribed by RNA polymerase I as part of the 45S precursor that also contains 18S and 28S rRNA. The record is from RNAcentral. Lineage: Eukaryota; Viridiplantae; Streptophyta; Magnoliopsida; Sapindales; Rutaceae.